AGAGGGUGUCGAAGCUACAGGAGGAUCGUGGACAGGUGUUUUCCAUCUUCUGAUUGGUAUCUGUAACCUGUGUGUGCGACAACCCUCAAAUCAUUUCCUCUAGCCCUUGGAGCUUUUGGAUUACCAGUCUGGAUUCUGCGUACCCUCCAGGACCGAGCAAUCUUCAAUCUUUCACUGGACCUAUUCUACUCUAUGACAAGCAUACUCCUCCCGCAGACCUGUCCACCCUCCAACGUAACUUCAGUUUCACCCUCCGCUCGCUCCCCACGGAAAGUACGAGUGCUGUGAACUCUACUUCAGUUUCCUUAACUCCGUCUCCCCUGGCGGAUCCCGCUCACCCUCUAUUGGAGAGACCAGACUCCUGUCACGUCCUUGUAGGAUUUUAGGAAAUAAUAAACUUCUUUUCACCCUGA
Long non-coding RNA from Girardinichthys multiradiatus, 413 nucleotides. RefSeq lists it as uncharacterized. NCBI's taxonomy places the organism in Eukaryota, Metazoa, Chordata, Actinopteri, Cyprinodontiformes, Goodeidae. The record is from RefSeq and is a predicted model, not a curated record. The transcript has 3 exons.